ACUAUUUCAUAAAGAGAAGAACUCAGAAAGUGGAUUCAGGAAACACAGGAAGAGGAGUCCUGGAGUAUCUCUAGAAAUUUCUCGGUAAAAUCCACAGGACCAGUAUCUGCCACAAUAAGAUGGGCGGCAGCAGCUGUAUCCAUACCCACCGGAGACAGAGCCACGGCCACAGCCAGAACCACAGCCAAGGCCGCCACAGUAGUUACUGUAGUAGCAGCACAAGGUGCCAGCAAUUAAAGGUUCCGUUGAUGGUGGGAACCAGUGUCCUCAAUCCGAAUGCCACCGUCUUCCAGGGCUUUUAUGUAUCUUCAGUGAUGGCUAGAGCAAACCACAGCCAACAACAAAAUUCAACGACAUUCUAGUCUUCAGAAUGAAAGCUCACUUGAAUUAAAACCUUCACCUCUCCUGCCCCUCUUGAGGUUGACUUUAUUGUGCGGAGGUAUGCUUUUGAUUGAAAGGGAAUGACUUCAUCUGUCCUGCGCUGACAUCUGUGUCUGCAUAAUGCAGGUUGCCAGUUUCCAUUGCCAUUAACCAAAAAACUCCUCUGGUCAAUCCAUUACCUGCCAUCCAGUGCUACAUCUUUGUGGCUUUACAGCCAGAAAAGUUUUUCGCUGUGCGAGGGAAAAUCAUGAGCCUGCACUCAAAUCCAUCCGUAGGCACCAAAUGUAUUCUCUACCUGCUGGUGUUGUGUUUCUUGG
Molecule: long non-coding RNA, 698 nt
Filed under: Felis catus (domestic cat)
Lineage: Eukaryota; Metazoa; Chordata; Mammalia; Carnivora; Felidae
Description: lncRNA (ENSFCAG00000047026.1)
Source: RNAcentral